AUGCUCAAUGGACAGCACACACACUAAAAAUUGGAACAAUACAGAGAUUAGCAUAGCCCUUGCACAAGGAUGGCAUGCAAAUUCGUGGAGUGUUCCAUAUGAAA
RNAcentral lists this small nuclear RNA (104 nucleotides) under Castor canadensis (American beaver). Lineage: Eukaryota; Metazoa; Chordata; Mammalia; Rodentia; Castoridae. The record is from RNAcentral.